Lepisosteus oculatus (spotted gar) is the source of this 1735-nucleotide long non-coding RNA. RefSeq lists it as uncharacterized. The record is from RefSeq and is a predicted model, not a curated record. NCBI's taxonomy places the organism in Eukaryota, Metazoa, Chordata, Actinopteri, Semionotiformes, Lepisosteidae.
UUAUAGGGUGCAGUUUUUAAUGUAAGACGGCACGGAAAGGGACAUCCCCCUCCGGCUCAGCAGGAGAACCAGCGCUGAUGCCCAGUUUGAGUUCGGGAAGAAGUGCGUUUGAGAAGGCGCGUUUGCUGGUCUUUCUCAAGAUAAUGUUUGCACGGCCCUUUCAAGCACCACCUGUCCCCCGUUGGGUCCCGACCCGAGGAGAGCUCGCUUGAGCUGCCACGCAGUGCCCGGUGCCGACGGAGAGCAGUCGCAAGGUGUUGGAAAGAAUAAGAUGAAACUUUGAAAAUCGCAUCCAGAACCGUAACGGAGGACUCUGUACCCUCAGCUGGAAGGUCCAAAGGCCAGAGAGCAGGAAAGCAGGGUGAAAUGAAAGCACAGGAUGUGACACAGGAAGUCAGAAAAGGAAACAAGAAAACGUUCAAAACUGAACCAAACAAAAAUAAAAACGGAAUAUCGUUUAGUAAAACACUGACUACUUUGGUUCAACACUUUUCCCCACACAACAGUUAUUUUUAAUUAUGUCUCACUCAGUGUCUGCGAUUAAAGAGUGAGAAUAAGAUAAGUGCUGAUUUGUGAAGACGUGCAGAUCAAUCACUUUACAAUCAACGCAACUAUGGCAUUAACACAUGUUGAUUGUUUUAAGAAUGUUGCAUGUUUGUGUGGUUUUUCCAUGUUGUUUUGGAGAGGACAUUAACCCAACAAGAAGGAAGAAACUAAACAAAAACAAAAAUGCUUACAGCCAAGAAUGUUGCAUGUGUUUAAUUUCAAAAUAAUUGAUGGCAAAAUAAAAUAUUUACAGCACAUAGUGUAAACAUGUAUGGUUCCUGUACAAAGUAAUAUACAUGCAAAAAGUAAAAAUAAUAAAAAAUCUUAAAAAUGAUCAAACAAAUACACUAAAGUAUAUAUGUAAAAUACGAUGAGGCUGAAACAAGAGCAUCCAGUCCAAAUUCCCGUAUUUAAUCGGUUUCUGUACAGCUUUACAAUAAUGAAUAAAUAAGAAUACAUGAUAUGGAACUGUACAGAUGAAUCCACUGUAUUCUAUCACUAGAGGAAAAAAAAAUAAAUCUAGGUUACGUACUUUGCAGAUCUUGGAGAAAAAAAACUACUUUUCAGAUCUUGACUUGUCCAAACUGGCACUUAUUAAAUUCUUGAAACACAAUGCAAAGGGUUUCAGAUACAUUUAUGUUGUUCACUUUUACCAUAGCAGCUAAAAUCUACGAUGCACAUUAAAAUUUCUAAUGGUGCAUGUAGUUCUUUUCCAACCAGAUGAAACAUUUCUGAAGAAUUUAAAUACCAAGGUCUUUAUAUGAGAAACAUCUAUGAAAAGACUGACCUCUCCAAAUCAAAUAAAAUUUUAAUUAUAGAUGUUUUUGUAUAAAUAAUGCAACUUCAACUAAAAGGGUUCCUUUCCCCUUUAACACGACUACUUCAAAAGCAUAUUAUUCUUUCACUCCUGACCACCCUAAGAGAACCUAAAUGGAGUAGAUUACACUUGCCAAGAAUUAAAUCAGGAUACUCAGUUACAUACAGCGGAUGAAAUGAAAGGUGACCAAAAUUAAACCAGGUGUAAUACUCACCUAAUUUACAUAAGAAUAAAUAAACAAUCUGUAAACACCCUCUUUUAACGCUCAUAAUGGUAUCCAUAACUUAAAUUAGUAAAAUGUCACAAAUAAAGCAAUACUUACUGUAAAGCAAGGAGACCUUUGGUUUAACUAUAACAAAAAUGUUUUUUUUU